CUACGGGCCCCUGCAGUGAGGGAUAUUGCACAAUGGAGGAAACUCUGAUGCAGCAACGCCGCGUGGAGGAUGACGCAUUUCGGUGUGUAAACUCCUUUUAUAUGUCAAGAAAAUGACGGUAGCAUAUGAAUAAGCACCGGCUAACUCCGUGCCAGCAGCCGCGGUAAUACGGAGGGUGCAAGCGUUACUCGGAAUCACUGGGCGUAAAGGACGCGUAGGCGGGAUAUCAAGUCAGGUGUGAAAUCCUACAGCUUAACUGUAGAACUGCACUUGAAACUGGUAACCUAGAGUAUGGGAGGGGGAGAUGGAAUUAGUGGUGUAGGGGUAAAAUCCGUAGAUAUCACUAGGAAUACCUAAAGCGAAGGCGAUCUCCUGGAACAUAACUGACGCUAAGGCGUGAAAGCGUGGGGAGCAAACAGGAUUAGAUACCCCAGUAGUC
RNAcentral lists this ribosomal RNA (439 nucleotides) under uncultured bacterium. RNAcentral describes it as "partial 16S ribosomal RNA". It matches the Rfam family "Bacterial small subunit ribosomal RNA", at positions 339 to 795 of the family's 1533-position model. The record is from RNAcentral.